RNAcentral lists this ribosomal RNA (117 nucleotides) under Lepisosteus oculatus (spotted gar). The record is from RNAcentral. Lineage: Eukaryota; Metazoa; Chordata; Actinopteri; Semionotiformes; Lepisosteidae.
UCUAGCAGCUUUUUUGAUACUGCAACAACUAGUAACCCACUAAAGCUAAGCAGGUGUGAGCCUGGCCAGUACCUGGAUGGGAGACCUCCUGAGGAAAAGCUAAGGUUGUUGCUGGAA